RNAcentral lists this long non-coding RNA (3281 nucleotides) under Vitis vinifera (wine grape). RNAcentral's name for it is "long non-coding RNA (VVIN_LNC001660)". The record is from RNAcentral. Lineage: Eukaryota; Viridiplantae; Streptophyta; Magnoliopsida; Vitales; Vitaceae.
GAAAAGUUAAGUCAUUUUCGACUUUAUUGGCAUGAUAUUCUUAGUGGGUCUAAUCCAACCUCAAUUCCAGUAGUUAAACCGGUGAAUAACUCAUCAACAUUCUUUGGUUCAAUAAAUAUGAUCGAUAAUCCAUUAACCAUUGAGCCAAAAUUAAACUCAAAAAUGGUUGGAAAGGCCCAAGGGUUUUAUGCGUCUGCGGGACAAGAAAAUUUUGGAUUGUUGAUGGUUAUGAAUUUUGCAUUCAACGAUGACAAGUAUAAUGGUAGCACAUUUACUGUGAUAGGACGAAAUGAUGUUUUUUCUAAGGUGAGGGAAAUGGAGAUAGUUGGUGGCAGUGGGCUUUUCCGAUUUGCUACAGGUUAUGUUCAAGCAAAAACUUACAUGUUCGGUACCAAUGGAGAUGCCAUUGUCGAAUACAAUGCCUAUGUUUUACAUUAUUGAUAUUUUUCCUUUUUUUAACUUUUCAGUCGAGCUUUGUUCCACAGUGAUAGACUUGAAUUGUUGUGUGUUCCCACUGUAGCUAAGUGGGGUUCUCUAGUUUUGCUUAAUUUAAUUAAAUUAAGUUACUCUUACUUUACCUAAUUUAUUGUAAGCAUGCAAUAAUAAAAUAAAAUUUAAGUAUCACGUAUAGUUUGAUUUAGAAUUUAUUUGUUUAUUUAAAUUUUUUAGAGAAGUUACAAAAAUAGAAAAAAAAAAACACAUGUAAUUCAAAGAAAAUCAUAUUUGAAAAUUCUCGAUGAUAGUGAUAGAUCGUGUAGAGAGAAGAAAAAUAAGACCAUAUUCAAUUUUAUUUGUUUCUUAUGAUUUUCUUAAUUUUCUUAUGUUCCUCUAUUGUUUAAAAAACUAGUGAAAAUGAUUCUUUAUUUCACUUUGUUUUUUUAAAAAUGAAAAUAGAGAACAACAACUGAAUAAGGUUAUGAAUUUUUUAAAAACAAAUAUUUGUUUUUAAAAUAGAAAACUAUUUUUUAAAUCACAUGGUCAAACAUGUUAUAAUAGUUUAAAAUUUUGUUUUAAAAAAAUGGAAGUAUAUAUAUGAAAAAAAAAAAAUUACAGCUUGAAAGUGAUUUUUAAAGAUUAAGUACAGCAAAACAACAUUUUAUAUGGAAUUUAUUAGUAUUUUUAUUUUUAAAAUAAAAAAAUAGAAAUUCAAAUUUUUGUUUUUAAAAGUUUUAAAAUAGAAAACAAAAUUAUACCCAAAUAACACCUUUUAAGUUUGUAAUUUACUAAAAGUUCAUCAGUCAAGAUUCCUAAAACUCUAUUACGUCAUAGUCCCACACAACUCAAGAAAGGUUAUAUCCAUAUAUUCAAGAUGACCUCCUAAAUCUUGAUCUAUAUGCAUGGAGGUAUAAAUUUUUUAUAAAUAAUUUUUUAUUUUUAAAAACAAAAACCUAUUUUUAAAUCACACAAUCAAACAGAUUGGAAGCCUUCAAUCCUUAAUAUCUUUUAACUUAAAAUCUUACCAUUAGAUAACAUUGCUUUAGAAUUUAUAAAUCAUGUAUUAUAAGUAAACUAAAAUCAUAUUAUUGUUGAUAGUAAUGAGAUACACUUUAUAUCUUAUUUGAUAAAGGUUAAGAAACCAUAUACAAAUUAUUAAUUAAUUAAUAAUUUAUUAAUGUAACCUUAUCAUUAUACAAAUAAAAUAUUUCUAUUAUUUCCAUUUUCAAAAUUUAAAACUCAAAGAAGUCAAAAGAAAAUUUCUUAAUUUUUCAACUAAUAAAAUCCCUUUUAUAAAAAAAAGAAAAAAAGAAAAAGAAAGUCAACAAAUCUUGAAAUUUCAAAAUUUUAAGAUAUUAAUGUACCAGUUAUUAAGUAGAUCGAGUAUAUUUAGUAGUGAUUCUAUUUGAAGUACUUUAGUAAAAGUGUUUUUUCUAAAAAUGUUUUUAGAAGAAUCGUCCAUUAAUUUCUUUUUUAAGAAACAUUAUAAAUAAUUUGUCAAUUUUUUAAAAAUAUUUUCUAAUUUUAAAUGCCAAAAUAUUUUAAAAUAUAGGGAAAAAUAUAUUUCCAUAUACCUAUAUGAAAAAAACCACAAAAUAAAAAUUUAAGUUUAUAAAAUAUAAAUUUCAAGCACUUAUAUAAAAAUAAUUAGUAUUUCACAUAUUUUCUUUAUCAAAUAUAUUACAUUUGAUCACGUAGAAUAUACCUUUUAAUGAUAUGAGUGUAUUAAAUUUGAAUUAUUUUUAUUUUGUUUUUAUUUUAUAAUUAUUUUUAUAUUAGCUUGUGAAAACCUUUUUUUUUUGUAAGUUAGAAGGAGUUUCUCUCCAUCGAAACACGCAGUGUCUUUUUCCCUUUUCUUGUAAACCCUAGAAAACUCUAAACCCUAAAUUCGGUGCUCAGAAAGACUUGGGCAUGGAAGAAGAGAAUGAAAGUAAAGUCAAUUCCUUUAUUUUUAAAUCCUCAGUUCACUUUUGCUUCCAUUGGGUGGGUGGGUGGGAUACCUGGAAAUUGUAUCAGACCUACCGUCACUCACAAGUCUGAAUUAAAAUGACAAUUUUAUCCAAUAGAAUGGGUUUUGGGGCGACUUUGAUUGCGGGAGGCCUCAUUUUCUAGAAAAGGUUGGCCCAACCACACCAUCCUCUUUCCAUGUUUUUUCUCAACAAACGCGUGCCCAAGUCAAUAAGACUUGCAAAUCACCCAAAACCACCAUAUGCCCAAGGCACCAAACCCCAUAAGAUGGAGGGGCAUUUUUGUCAUUCUCGUUAGAAAUAUUCCCGUUGUGAUGGGUCGGUGCGAUUGGCAAUUAUAACAUCUUUGAAUUUGGAAAAGUGGGCUUUAAUUGUGUGGAAAAUGAACAAUUCAAUAAUUUAUAUAUAUAUCCUAGGUUUUGUGAGCAAAGGGUGUGCAUUGUGGCCAUGGCUAGAGCUCUCCUCAUCUCACCUCCCUACUUCAUCUUCCUUAUCUUUCUCAUUUUCUCUUAUGCCACAAUCCCAACUUUUGGAGAAGAAUAUAGCUAUGUCAAGCGUGUCAAUCCUAAGAAAAUGAAGAUAUUGAAGGAAAAGUUAAGUCAUUUUCGACUUUACUGGCACGACAUUGUUAGCGGGUCUAAUCCAACCUCAAUUCAAGUGGUUAAACCAGUGAAUAACUCGUCAACAUUCUUUGGUUCAAUAAAUAUGAUUGAUAAUCCGUUAACCAUUGGACCAAAGUUGAGCUCAAAACUGGUUGGAAAGGCUCAAGGGUUUUAUUCAUCUGCAGGACAAGAAGAAUUUGGAUUAUUGAUGGUUAUGAAUUUUGUAUUCAUCGAUGGCAAGUAUAAUGGUAGCACAUUCACUGUGUUAGGACGAAAC